GCCGAUGUAGCUCAGUUGGUAGAGCAGCUGUUUCGUAAACAGCAGGUCGCCAGUUCAAUCCUGGCCGUCGGCU
This 73-nucleotide transfer RNA is filed under the name candidate division WOR-1 bacterium RIFOXYA12_FULL_36_13. RNAcentral's name for it is "tRNA-Thr". It matches the Rfam family "tRNA". Rfam says of the family: Transfer RNA (tRNA) molecules are approximately 80 nucleotides in length. RNAcentral also lists the same sequence under 3 other names. Lineage: Bacteria; Bacillati. The record is from RNAcentral.